Neoarius graeffei (lesser salmon catfish) is the source of this 568-nucleotide non-coding RNA. Lineage: Eukaryota; Metazoa; Chordata; Actinopteri; Siluriformes; Ariidae. The record is from the annotation of a RefSeq genome assembly.
CUGCAACAGAAAUUUAAUUAGGUUUUCUUUUUUACUAUAUACUCUGUUUUUCCCCCAACCUGAUUUUAUAACUCUAGACCUUAUUUUUGCAAACAAAUAUUAGUUUAUGACACAGGAUGGUGCUUCCUGUGCUGAUUUUUCAUAUUGUGUUUCUCUGGUUCACAGAUCCUUCAUUAAGCAGCAAAAUCCUUCAGCCUGCUGAUGUGAUCAAGAAUCCAGGAAAUAAUGUGAACCUCAGUUGUAGUCACACUUACAAGGACGUUUUUUACCUUUACUGGUAUCAACAAACAAGACAAGACACAUCACUGAAGCUUACUGGAUAUCUCCACACAACAAACUUCAAUAAGGAAACAGAGUUUGAGGAACGCUUUCAUAUUUACGGAGAUGCAAAAAGUGAAGGGAUCCUGCAGAUCUCCAACCUGAAUUCACAUGAUAGUGCGGUGUAUUUCUGUGCAGUGAGAGAAAGCACAGUGCCACGGUUUUCUGCUGCCUACUUCAAAAACUCACUGUAUUAUAACUCUGUAUGCUAUCUGCACAUCUCCAGCUGCUACUGAUGCAGAAAGCAACA